Long non-coding RNA from Phyllostomus hastatus (greater spear-nosed bat), 1191 nucleotides. RefSeq lists it as uncharacterized. The record is from RefSeq and is a predicted model, not a curated record. The transcript is spliced from 2 exons. NCBI's taxonomy places the organism in Eukaryota, Metazoa, Chordata, Mammalia, Chiroptera, Phyllostomidae.
AUUGCUCUCACUGAGAACUGCCUCAGAGAAAUGUACCACGUGGAAGAGGAAACAAACAGAGGGACAAAAGGAUGGAUAAGCAAGUACAGCAAAAUGUCAAUGGUGAAAUCUAAGCGGUGGGAACAGUUCCUGGGCUGGCUGUGCGAGAGAUUCAUGAUCUGGUCACAAGAGCAAAAGCACCUGUGUUGUGGAUAGCUCAGAAUGACACAAGACUGGCAACAAACACCGGUGUUUGAAAACACUUGGUGGGAAUGGAAGCUUCAAAGCAUUUUAUCAUCUCAGGCCAUCGCUGAGAGGGCCCAGCUGAAGCCACCCCAUGCACGUCCUUUGACAAGCGCUGGGCUUUCAAUGGCGCUCUGCAAACCAGCUGCACUGUAGCUGGCUUUUCAGUGUUUCAGCUGGUCGGCUCACGGCAGUACGAAUUGGCAGCGUGGCAAGCAAGAAGGCUGAAAUUCAACACCCAGAUUGAGAGCUCUUGAGACUCAAAUGUCAUGGACACCGGGGUGUGGCUUCUCCACUAAUUAUGUUCUGUCAAACAAGGGUUGAAAAUGUCAGCCCAGACUUAAUGCUUGGCUCCACCCGCAGCCAAUAGCUGCGGACCUGGGCUCUGGUUUAAAUGAUGAAGGAGUUUGAAAAACCACUCAGUUGAUUUCGAGACUUCCUGGGGACAACAUUGAAACCACAAUGUUCUCUUUUUGAGGCGGAGUGGAGAGCCAAUCACAAUCGAGUUUUCUCAGCAUGUUCUGCCCAUAUUUGGCUGUGCUCUUGCUUCAUUCAACUAAAUUUAUAAUAUGUGCACUUGAAAAGCAAGGCUUUGGAAAGGGUUUCUCUCCCCCGUUAUAAAAGAAGUCUUAUCUUUAUGCAUAGGGGCCUGCCCGUGAGCUUAUAGAACAGCUUCAAAGCAAAGAAAGGAGCUGGUAUAGAAAAUUUAUUUUUUACACACACACAAAAUGAGCUUGAACUGUACCUUCUGGCUUUAUACUGUUUGCAUGAAAAUACAUAGAAAACAAUCCACUAGUGCCGUGCUGUGCAAGAAGAACCAGAAGUGGUUUACGAGAUGAUGGGGGUAGCGAAGAAAGAAUGAUACAUGUAUUGUUGUAUCGUAUUUUCUGCGUGCUGUGGAGGAGAUCCAACGUGCAGAUUCCCGGAAAUAAAUGUACCCAUUGAAGUUUCGUAAGGAUUGCUUGAAAA